GCUAGGUAUGGUCACGCAUGCCUAUAAUCCCAGCUUCUUGGGAUGCUGAGGCAGGAGGAUCUCAAGUUCAAAGCCAGGCUCAGCAACAUAUGGAGGCCCUAAGCAACUUAGCAAGAUCCUGUCUCAA
This 127-nucleotide small RNA is filed under the name Marmota monax (woodchuck). Lineage: Eukaryota; Metazoa; Chordata; Mammalia; Rodentia; Sciuridae. The record is from RNAcentral.